AAGACACUAGUAAAAUUAUUACCUUGCCUUGUCAAGGCAAAAUUGUGGGUUAGACCCCCGCGUGUCUUA
This 69-nucleotide transfer RNA is filed under the name Sundasalanx mekongensis. Its description in RNAcentral is "tRNA-Asp". It matches the Rfam family "tRNA". Rfam says of the family: Transfer RNA (tRNA) molecules are approximately 80 nucleotides in length. The record is from RNAcentral. Lineage: Eukaryota; Metazoa; Chordata; Actinopteri; Clupeiformes; Clupeidae.